This 124-nucleotide small RNA is filed under the name Marmota monax (woodchuck). The record is from RNAcentral. Lineage: Eukaryota; Metazoa; Chordata; Mammalia; Rodentia; Sciuridae.
GCUGGGCAUGGUGGCGCACGCCUGUAAUCCCAGCAGCUCAGGAGGCUGAGGCAGGAGGAUCACGAGUUCAAAGGCAGCCUCAACAACGGGGAGGACAAAGCAACUCAGUGAGACCCUGUCUCUA